RNAcentral lists this ribosomal RNA (1047 nucleotides) under Pseudomonas aeruginosa. RNAcentral's name for it is "partial 23S ribosomal RNA". It matches the Rfam family "Bacterial large subunit ribosomal RNA", at positions 1884 to 2925 of the family's 2925-position model. The record is from RNAcentral. Lineage: Bacteria; Pseudomonadati; Pseudomonadota; Gammaproteobacteria; Pseudomonadales; Pseudomonadaceae.
AUGGGGUUAGCGCAAGCGAAGCUCUUGAUCGAAGCCCCGGUAAACGGCGGCCGUAACUAUAACGGUCCUAAGGUAGCGAAAUUCCUUGUCGGGUAAGUUCCGACCUGCACGAAUGGCGUAACGAUGGCGGCGCUGUCUCCACCCGAGACUCAGUGAAAUUGAAAUCGCUGUGAAGAUGCAGUGUAUCCGCGGCUAGACGGAAAGACCCCGUGAACCUUUACUGUAGCUUUGCACUGGACUUUGAGCCUGCUUGUGUAGGAUAGGUGGGAGGCUUUGAAGCGUGGACGCCAGUUCGCGUGGAGCCAUCCUUGAAAUACCACCCUGGCAUGCUUGAGGUUCUAACUCUGGUCCGUGAUCCGGAUCGAGGACAGUGUAUGGUGGGCAGUUUGACUGGGGCGGUCUCCUCCUAAAGAGUAACGGAGGAGUACGAAGGUGCGCUCAGACCGGUCGGAAAUCGGUCGCAGAGUAUAAAGGCAAAAGCGCGCUUGACUGCGAGACAGACACGUCGAGCAGGUACGAAAGUAGGUCUUAGUGAUCCGGUGGUUCUGUAUGGAAGGGCCAUCGCUCAACGGAUAAAAGGUACUCCGGGGAUAACAGGCUGAUACCGCCCAAGAGUUCAUAUCGACGGCGGUGUUUGGCACCUCGAUGUCGGCUCAUCACAUCCUGGGGCUGAAGCCGGUCCCAAGGGUAUGGCUGUUCGCCAUUUAAAGUGGUACGCGAGCUGGGUUUAGAACGUCGUGAGACAGUUCGGUCCCUAUCUGCCGUGGACGUUUGAGAUUUGAGAGGGGCUGCUCCUAGUACGAGAGGACCGGAGUGGACGAACCUCUGGUGUUCCGGUUGUCACGCCAGUGGCAUUGCCGGGUAGCUAUGUUCGGAAAAGAUAACCGCUGAAAGCAUCUAAGCGGGAAACUUGCCUCAAGAUGAGAUCUCACUGGGAACUUGAUUCCCCUGAAGGGCCGUCGAAGACUACGACGUUGAUAGGCUGGGUGUGUAAGCGUUGUGAGGCGUUGAGCUAACCAGUACUAAUUGCCCGUGAGGCUUGACCAU